RNAcentral lists this ribosomal RNA (736 nucleotides) under Isonychia sp. BCOD-2008. RNAcentral's name for it is "eukaryotic LSU rRNA". The stretch from base 461 to 736 matches the Rfam family "Eukaryotic large subunit ribosomal RNA", at positions 665 to 898 of the family's 3401-position model. The record is from RNAcentral. Lineage: Eukaryota; Metazoa; Arthropoda; Insecta; Ephemeroptera; Isonychiidae.
UGGGGUAAACGGGUGGAGCCCUAAAGGUCGAACGGGGAGAUUCAUAUCCAGUCCGGCUCGGCCGCACCGCGUCGUUGGGAUUUUGGGGACGGCCUUCGGGUCGGCCUCGGGCCCGCGGCGCGGUUUUUGCGUGCUGGCGGGGGAGCGCAAUUCUCCCUUAGUAGGACGUCGCGACCCGUUGGGUGUCGGUCGAAGGCCCGGAUGCGAGCCCGUUCCGCGGCAACGCGGGGCGGAGCCCUGGUUUUUCCCGGCCGACUGCCCGACGGUUUGAACGUGCGGAAAAGGCCCGCGAGUCACAUCGCGCUCGUGCCCCGUGCAAGCGUCCGGUCCAACUCGUCGUACGGACUCGUCCGUCGCGGGUGGCCCGGCGUUGUUGGCGCGGGGAUUUCUCGAGCAGCGGCCUGCUCCGGUUUGCGGCGCUUAAAACAGGGUGGCCCACCCGGCCCGUCUUGAAACACGGACCAAGGAGUCUAACAUGUGCGCGAGUCAUUGGGUACCACGAAACCCAAAGGCGUAUUGAACGAAAAGGCCGAUCCAAUCGGCUGAGGGAAGAUGGAGGCGCGCUCGCGUGCCUCCCGCAUUCCCGGGGCGUCUCGUCCUACUUCCGCUCGUCGGUCGAAGGUGAGGCGCACCAAGAGCGCACACGUUGGGACCCGAAAGAUGGUGAACUAUGCCUGGCCAGGACGAAGUCAGGGGAAACCCUGAUGGAGGUCCGUAGCGAUUCUGACGUGCAAAU